GUGUGCGAUGAUGGUAUAUCAUCUUUCGGGUCUGAAUGUGAUGACACACAUUUGCACUGAGCAUAC
Molecule: non-coding RNA, 66 nt
Organism: Ascaris lumbricoides (common roundworm)
Lineage: Eukaryota; Metazoa; Nematoda; Chromadorea; Rhabditida; Ascarididae
Source: Rfam